UCUUCAUUUCCCACACUCUCUCACCGGUCAGAGAGGCGAGAGAGUGUGGGAAAUGAAGAGA
This 61-nucleotide microRNA precursor is filed under the name Pristionchus pacificus. RNAcentral describes it as "mir-8364 microRNA precursor family". It matches the Rfam family "mir-8364 microRNA precursor family". Lineage: Eukaryota; Metazoa; Nematoda; Chromadorea; Rhabditida; Neodiplogasteridae. The record is from Rfam by way of RNAcentral.